AUGCCGGCGCUGCUCCCGUCGCCACGUUCGACGCCGCCCAGACCUCCAGCAGCUCGACGGAAGACGCUGGCCGGGGUGACCGGCUUCCAGUUGCCACGACAGAGCCCUCGUCUCCGAGCAAAGAAAAGGAAGAUACCCAUAGCAAAGCUUGCUGAACAACUUCUUUGUCGCCGCAUGAACAUUGUGGCUGAGGGCGAGCAGGUCACAGAAGCGGCGAUUGCAAAAUUCGCACAGAUGUUCCAAGGCCAACUGCCAGAUAUUGCCGUUGCGGCCCUCCGCGCGCUCUUCCAGCUGGACUGCGACCUCUCCUCAGCAGUGGAGGAGGCGCUGGUGCAGCAUGGUGGAGAAGGAGGUCCAGAGCUGGACGAGACUGCCUCCACGGGCGCCUGA
This 390-nucleotide ribosomal RNA is filed under the name Triticum aestivum (bread wheat). RNAcentral's name for it is "partial small subunit ribosomal RNA". Lineage: Eukaryota; Viridiplantae; Streptophyta; Magnoliopsida; Poales; Poaceae. The record is from RNAcentral.